CCUCUAGAAUAAAGUCUAGAGCAUUGGGUAUGAUUCGCUCUCAUGUACUUUCUGUACUCAAAAGUGCGUCUUCUCAGUUAAAAUAAAGUAGGGGUUGAAUUAAUGCGCUCCAUUGUUUUGUGCUGUUUUGUUGGGUUCAGUCAGCAAUCCGGGGCAAUAGUAGCAGCAAGGCAUCUCUUGCUGAGGGUGUAUUCUUGGUUGGAUGAUGCUAUUGAAUAAGUUCUCAAUUUGAGGUGGAGUAGACUUCUCAAUUUGAGAGAUUUUAUGUGACCAUAUCUAAUAAUUGAAGUUUUGCAGCUUAAGCUAGUGCUGAAGGAAAUUGAAAGUAGAUCAUCAAGAAAAUAGUAUAUUCAGCUACUUGCAGAAUGCCACAAACUUUAUUGCGAGCAGAGGCUUUCCUUGGGAUCAAAGAAUCAGAAAGAAAAAAAGCAUAUAAAACUCUGCAGCAACAAUCUACUGCAGUAAUCUUGUUAUUCACUUUAAAGUUAAGACUUCCGGCAACAACACCUCUGGCACUCUACAGAUUCCCUAGAUGUGACAAGCGAAGUAUAAAAGGAUACUUAAGACUCCUUGAAAGUAGUAACUCUGUUUAUUUAUUUGUGUUAAAAGUAGUAACUUUUAGACUGCUUGAAUACUUAAAGAAUAUUUUGUUGUUGAUGACAGUGUUGAAUGUUUUAAACUAAAUUGUGGAUUGUUAAUUCAAUGUUGAAUGUUCUUACUUUUUGUUAUUUGAAAAUCAAGUUCAUUUGA
Molecule: RNA transcript, 750 nt
Organism: Humulus lupulus (European hop)
Lineage: Eukaryota; Viridiplantae; Streptophyta; Magnoliopsida; Rosales; Cannabaceae
Exons: 5
Source: RefSeq, a predicted model, not a curated record